GAUGAACGCUGGCGGCGUGCCUAAUACAUGCAAGUCGAGCGAACGGACGAGAAGCUUGCUUCUCUGAUGUUAGCGGCGGACGGGUGAGUAACACGUGGAUAACCUACCUAUAAGACUGGGAUAACUUCGGGAAACCGGAGCUAAUACCGGAUGAUAUUUUGAACCGCAUGGUUCAAAAGUGAAAGACGGUCUUGCUGUCACUUAUAGAUGGAUCCGCGCUGCAUUAGCUAGUUGGUAAGGUAACGGCUUACCAAGGCAACGAUGCAUAGCCGACCUGAGAGGGUGAUCGGCCACACUGGAACUGAGACACGGUCCAGACUCCUACGGGAGGCAGCAGUAGGGAAUCUUCCGCAAUGGGCGAAAGCCUGACGGAGCAACGCCGCGUGAGUGAUGAAGGUCUUCGGAUCGUAAAACUCUGUUAUUAGGGAAGAACAUAUGUGUAAGUAACUGUGCACAUCUUGACGGUACCUAAUCAGAAAGCCACGGCUAACUAUGUG
Molecule: ribosomal RNA, 497 nt
Filed under: uncultured bacterium
Lineage: Bacteria
Description: partial 16S ribosomal RNA
Rfam family: Bacterial small subunit ribosomal RNA
Source: RNAcentral